Non-coding RNA from Odocoileus virginianus texanus, 1911 nucleotides. The record is from RefSeq and is a predicted model, not a curated record. NCBI's taxonomy places the organism in Eukaryota, Metazoa, Chordata, Mammalia, Artiodactyla, Cervidae.
CUUAGAGUACCCAAAAUGUUUUGUGAUUUAGCUCCUGCCUACUUCUGAUUCAUUUCUGCCACCUGCUUUGCCCUUUUUCUCCCCUGGCCUCAUAGAACUUUCUGCAGUUCUCUAAAUGCACCAUUUAUCACUGCACUGUUCCAGAAUUCACACGUGUUGUGCUCUCCCCAGUUCCUUCUACUCCCCUGAACUCUCAGCCCAGUAUCCUGUGAACUUUCCCAGACUGAGGGUAGGGGCUCAUGGAGGACUGACUGGUCACUUCCAGGAGGGCUGUCUGAGACAGGCAAGGAAGGCCACGAUAGGUUGAAACUGGAGAAAGGCCAUUGUGGGUGUUUGCAGUUUGGAGGUGGAGUCGAGGGGAAUCUGUUUUACUUGGAGGGAACUUGAUCUGAGAAAAUUGAGUGGACCAAUUAUAACAACUAAUAUUAUUUGAUGAGUGCUCUCCACUCUACCAAGUACUCUCCCAUCAGUUCAGACAGUUCCUUGAUCGCUUACUGCUUGUACAGGGCUAAGGGCCAGGGCCCUGACCUUCAUUCACAUCUACUCUGAGAGGCAGGUACUUUGAUCCCUGACUCACUGUUGAUGGAACUGAAGCCUGGAGGCUAGAGGACAGGGGAAAGUAGGUCGGGUGUAGGUCAGAGAAAGCUGGAGGGAGGCAAGUACCUUGAAGUCAGGUUUCUGGUGCUGUCAAGGGGUGACCAGUAGGAACCCUGAAGUGGAGAGAGUCCCAAACCUCCCCUGCUCAGGCUGCCAGUAAUGUCACAAUGUCUGGGGCGGGGUCUGUGGGAUCUCUCUCUGCCUCCACCCGAUGGACCCUGGGGUGAGGGCCGCUCCACUGGGCAGUGUCUCAGAAGCUUGUCUUCCACUCCUGGGACAGCCCCCUGCUCCACCCUCCCAAAAGAGGCCCAUGGGUCUCUGGAAGCAGUGGAAGAAUAGCUGAAGCACAGUUCAUCUCAUCACGGGAACAAACCAGGCCUCAGACACAGUCGCAGAGCAGCUGCCGGCAGAGCUGUCCAGGAAGAGGGGCCCCCCCAUUGGGGCCCACUCUGCUUUCCCCUUGCGGAUCACACCAAGGGCCUUGGGAGGUCAUCACACCACGCAGAACUUCGGCUUGCUCCUUUGUAAACUGAGGUCAUCCCACCUGCCCUGCCUACCUUGGAAUGGUGUUCUGUCCUAGGAAUAAAGACCCCAUGCCUUUCCACACACUAGUCUAGCUAAUGCAACCACGAGGGCUGCUCCUAGGACCACUAGACUCUCAAGAUGUGUGGUUGGAAAUACUGAGAAUGGGAACAAAGGUUGAGUGUGUGGGCAGCCAAGGGCCCCUGGGUUCUAAAACCUACUGCUUGAUCCCUACUUCCCUGGAAGGUGGGGGAGGCCUUGCCUGGGGAGGUGCCUCCUCCUUCUGCCCUCCUAACAGAAGCCUGAUGGGCAGUCUCCCUACUCUCCAGACCCAAAACCCAGAGAAUACCAGGAAAUUUGCCUGGAGGUUUCAGACCCAAGCUUUUCUCUCAUUCUUUCCCUUUAUCUGAUUCUCCAUCACAGUCAGAUGGUGGUAUCUGGAGGCAAGAGGCGAGCUUCCACCUGUCUUCUGGUUCCUAAUUGGGUCAUCUCUGCACCAGAUCUGCUCUCAUCUAACCACUUCUGGAAGGACUUGAGAAGACUGAGGCCUGACCAGAUCAAGUAGCUCAACCACAUCUGGGCCAUUGGCUGUCCCUACCAAGAACAGCGUGACCCAGGGAAUUCCCUGGCAGUCCAGUGGUUAGGACUCUGCUUCCACAGCCAGCGGCACAGGUUCCAUCACCGGUGGAGGAACUAAGACCCGUGCAUCCUCCGACUGUCAAAAAAAAGAAUAGGGGGAGGCACACCGCCCUGAGGACCUAGGAGGAUCUCAACCUAGUUCAGCUGCCACAA